Molecule: ribosomal RNA, 181 nt
Filed under: uncultured bacterium
Lineage: Bacteria
Description: partial 16S ribosomal RNA
Rfam family: Bacterial small subunit ribosomal RNA
Source: RNAcentral
CAUGAAGCCGGAAUUGCUAGUAAUGGCAGGUCAGCAUACUGCCGUGAAUACGUUCCCGGGCCUUGUACACGCCGCCCGUCACACCAUGAGAGUUGGGAAUACCCGAAGCCUGUGAGCUAACUUUUAGAGGCAGCAGUCGAAGGUAGAAUCAAUGAUUGGGGUGAAGUCGUAACAAGGUAAC